GGGAAUGUGGAGAACCACAAGGGAAGGGCACUGAGACAGCAUCUUUACCCACUCCACCUCCAACUAGGCUCCAGGGGUCAGGAGGAGCAUAUGAAGGUGGAUGGGAAUGAGAUGUGACUUGUGUUAAGCUGACAAAGAACUUGCAGACAGGCAGACUGAUAAACUGCUACUUUCUCAAUCUCAACAACAGGUCUAACUUGUCCACCUUAUCCUUCAGCAACCACCACACUGAUACUUAGCAGCCAUCAACAUCAAGACAAGACCUCCAUCAGUAAAAAGAUUUUGACUCACUGAGAAUUCAGACAGCAAGCAAUCUGGUAUUGGUUAAAUGUGUAAUUCUUCACAUCAUGUUGCCCAAGGGAAAAAAAAUCAAAAGGAAAAAACAAGACAAAGGGAAAAAAACAAACAACAAAAAGGCAAAAAUACUAAACUUUGAUCCACAUUCAGUCUCCAUCAUUCUCUCUCUGAAUGUGGUUGGCACUUUCUAACAAAAGUAUUGGAAUUGCCUUGAAUCAUCUUUUUGAAAAGAGCCAACUCCAUCACAGCUGAUCACCACAUUACCUUGUUAUUGUGUACAAUGUUGUUCUUUUGGUUCUGCUCACUUAACAUCAAUUCGUGUCUUUCCAGGAUUUUCAGAAAUCAGUCUGCCAUCAUUUCUUAUAGAACAAUUUCUUAUAUUCAUAUACCAUUCCUCAACUGAUGGGCAUCCACUCAAUUUCCAGUUCCUCCGCCACUACACAUAGGGUAGCCACAUUUUUGCAUAUGUAGGUCCAUUUUCCUCAUGUUUUAUUUGGGCUACAGACCCUCAA
This is a long non-coding RNA of Antechinus flavipes (yellow-footed antechinus), 809 nucleotides long. RefSeq lists it as uncharacterized. NCBI's taxonomy places the organism in Eukaryota, Metazoa, Chordata, Mammalia, Dasyuromorphia, Dasyuridae. The transcript has 4 exons. The record is from RefSeq and is a predicted model, not a curated record.